UUUUUUGUUUUUUAUUUUUUUAUUAUUUUUUAAAUAUUUUAUUUAUUCAUGAAAGACAGAGAGAGACAGAGACAGAGACACAGGCAGAGGGAGAAGCAGGCUCCAUGCAGGGAGCCCGGUCACUUAGAUUUGGAAGGGUAGGAUGUCAACGACCAAGGAAUCGAGAUUUUGCUCAAGUUCCCAAAUUCGCUAUCAGUAUCAAGUGAUAGUUUCAAAGUGCAUUUAUUUUUGUUAAACAUUUGUCCAAGUUAAACAUUAGUAUGUUUUUUAACUGAAAUGUGAAAAAUGAAAUGUGUACAGGAAAGACUGUCUUUAUAUGCUGUUCUCCAUACCAACCCAUUCCAUUUCUCCUCACUCAGAGAACCUACUUGAGUCUCUUCCAGUGCUUUCCCUGCAUAUCCAUGUGGACAUGUUGGUAUGUAUGCAGAAAUGGACAUUUUAUAAACAUAAAUGAUACAUACAUAGUUUUUGGUAGCAAAUGAGUUCAUGUGUGUAUUUUUUUCUUAAACCUGUCUAUUGCUUUAAAACUAAAAGGAAGAGCUCCCAAGGAUGGGAAGAAUAGCAUGAAGGGUGGGGAGACACAGAGGUGGACAGAUGGCUUGCCUCUAUGCUCAAAAUAUCUCAUGAAUACAUAGGCAUAUUUCAUGUCCAUGACACACAAAGCUCCUUAAAUUUAGCAGCGGAAGAUUAAGUGCAGAAUCUUGGAUUUUGACUUCUUUUUUAAUAGUCUUCUUUGUUGCUAAUGUUGAAAAUGAAACCAUGGAGAGCUUCAUUUGAGGGACAUCAAUAAUAUUCAAUUUCAGUUUUCAUUAGGAACUUGGGAAAGGAGGACUUAUUUCCAUAUGACUUUAUUUUAAUAGUAAGUUUUGGUUUUCGGAAGGUGUGAGGUUGAAAGUAGUUACAGCCAGGGAGGAGAAAGAGAGCAGCUUAAUUUUAGUCAUCUCCUUUCCACACUCUGGCUCUGCUAAGCAAGGUGAUUGCCCUACACAGCCCACUCGGAUGCUGCAAAUAUCUUCAGAUGUGGCAAGCCUUACCCUAGCACUGUAGUAACAUGCCUUCGACAAAGUAUUAAAAGCUUCAACAAGAUGGCAUCAGAGUAUAAUGAGGUUUACUAGUUUUCUAGAAAAAUGAAACACCUUUUGAAAGGAUGUAUAGAAGAUGAAGAAAGAUCUGUCCUGCAUAGAAGAGGCUUUCAGCAUUCAGGUUAAAAAGGAACUCAGGUUCAAAAGACUUUAGAGGAUUUUUCUAUGAACCAAAUGAUUAGAGAUUGAUAUCUCAUCAUGCACUCUAUUGAAACAGGGAAGGUUAUAGAAGGGCAGUUUUGAGAAAGGGCAAGAGAAUUUCAAACAAGAAUAAGCAACAUUCUAUUAUUACAGAUACAGUCAUUACUAAAGAACUGGAGGUGUUAUUAAUCAUGUUACACUGAAAGAAAUGAGCAAUGGAUUUGGAGAUGAUUGUGAGCUAUUACCUGUGGAGAUCAGAAAAGAGAGAUAUUUAAAUCAUUUUACUAAAAAGAUCCAAAAGUGAAAACUACCUUAGAAUUUAAGGACACUCAAGGGAGAGAUAAAGAAUGCAUGAAUCCAUGUUUUUAAGGAGAGGUUGGGGACAUCGGUGACUUUUGCCAACUGCUUGAAGACCUAUGAUGGCCUACACCUCAGAUGCACACAGUGAAAUGAUCGCUCAAGCAAGAUAGUACCGAUUGAUCUCUUUCUCUCCUUUAUUCCCAUGUAUGUGGCUAAAAGAGCUUAGUAAUUAAUAAACUCAAGAUUGGUAAUUCUCAUUUUCAUCAUCAAUAUCGGUCACCACACAUACUGGGAACAUUAAAGAAAUAUGACAAACAAUUGAUUUGAGUUUUAAUGAUGUGUUGCUUGAGAGGGGCUAUUUCUCUGUUCCCAGGUAGGGCUGGGAUACCCUCUGCCUGCCAUAGUAACAUGAAUUCUUAUUCUGAACCCAUGGACGGCUGUGGUUACCCCAAAAAAGAAAUACAACACAUAUUCGUUUUCCUUAAAAUAAAAAGAUAACAUUAUUAAAACCCAGAAGGCUUACACUUACUGGUCACUUAUCACUGUCCAAUUAAAAUACAAUUUAGAGAACAUUUUGAAUACAUUAAAAUUCCUAAGUACAAGGAGGUGUCCCUUGAAACCUGGGACCCUACACUUAUAUUGCCCCACCCCCAUUGUCACCCAAGAUUCUUACUGCAUCGGUCUAGGGCUUUACGCUGGUGAGUGCAUGCUUAAAUAUUCCUCCAGGAGAUUUCAAUAUGGAUUCAUCUCAUCACCACAACCAAAUGAAAACUACCAUUUCAAUGCUUCAGUAUAGUGUAAUUGUAAAGAGAAAUAAAAAAUGCCUCCGUGUAUGAUCACGCCCCAGUUCACACACUUAACCAUCUAUACUAAUUUUUGUUUACUCUUCUAAAUCCCGAAACUCUCUUUCCAGGGGCAACCACUUUCUCCUGCUUUGUGAGCACUGAAUUCUCUUUAAUUCUCUUCUCUUGACCACAUAUGGGGUCACAUGACCCAGCCCCAUCCAAGCAGUUUAUUCUAUUCCUCCGGCCAGACUGACUCAAAAUGAGCCAGAGAAAGUACCCUCCAGGAUUUUCUGCCACAGCCACUAAGAGGGCAAGUGUAACUUUUUCCCCUACAGAUGUUAAGCUGGUAAAAUGUGUCUUGAGCAGGUGUAAAUGUGUCCUACCUGCUAUUUUCUGGAUCCAAACAUUCUAGAAUUUUCAACUAUGUUUACCCUGGCUUGAGUUGGGUUCCUAUUACUGACAAAUAAAAAGGCCCAACAAACAAGUCAGAUCGUAUUAGGUGAUUGCUUAAAUUCUUUGGCUUAUUUUCUUCACCUGUAGAACUGAGAUAAUGGCAUCCACCAUGCCCACCAACUAGGGAAAUGAGACCUCAUUUCAGAUGCAAAGUAUUUAUUAUCUUAUAAUAGAUUUUCCAAAUGAUAAAUUUCAUAUACAUUCCUUGAAAAUAACUAUUUAAUUCAGACAGUCAUCCAAACUAAUUACUUAGUAUUAUAUAAAAAUGUCUUGUGUUAUAUUUCUUAAUCAUUAAGAAGUUAUUCUAUUGUCAUGUAAAUAUUGCUUAUCAGCAUACAAAGCAAAAACUUCAAUUUAUAAGCCAAUUAUUAAUAACAAUGAAUACUUUUCUUCAGCCACUGAACAGCUUAAUCAUAUUAAUAGUUAUAUGUUAAUAGCUCUCGCCUCCACUACAAAAAUUAUAUUUUAAACUUCUAAUUUUCUGGUACAAUAUGUAUCAGUCCCUCACAAAUUUAUCAAUCACCUGGUAAUCAUGUAAAAUGCAGAUUCAGAUUCAGUAGGUCUAGAGUUGGGCCUGAGAUACGGCAUUUCUUUUCUUUUUGUUUUUUCCUGAUUUUAUUGAGCUAUAAUUCACAUAUAACAUUGUGUAAGUUUAAGGUGUACAAUAUGAUUUGAUAUAUAUAUAUAUAUAUAUUGUGAAAUGAUUACCAGGUUAGGAUUAGUUAACACGUCCAUCACCUCACCUCACAUAAUUACCUUUGUGUGUGUAUAUGUGCGUGCGUGCAUGCGUGUGUGUGUGUGUGUGUGUGGUUAAGAUUUAAGAUUUACAGAAUACCUGGGUGGCUCAGUGGUUGAGUGUCUGCCUUUGGCUCAGGUCAUGAUCCUGAGAUCCUGGGAUUGAGUCCUGCAUCAGGUUUUCCUCAGGGAGCCUGCUUUUCUCUCUGCCUCUGCCUAUGUCUCUGACUCUUUCUCUCUCUGUCUCUCAUGAAUAAAUAAAUUAAAUCUUUAAAAAAAAAAA
RNAcentral lists this long non-coding RNA (3779 nucleotides) under Canis lupus familiaris (dog). Its description in RNAcentral is "lncRNA (ENSCAFG00000056050.1, ENSCAFG00805004589.1, ENSCAFG00845005212.1)". The record is from RNAcentral. Lineage: Eukaryota; Metazoa; Chordata; Mammalia; Carnivora; Canidae.